RNAcentral lists this ribosomal RNA (253 nucleotides) under uncultured bacterium. Its description in RNAcentral is "partial 16S ribosomal RNA". It matches the Rfam family "Bacterial small subunit ribosomal RNA", at positions 524 to 776 of the family's 1533-position model. The record is from RNAcentral.
UACGUAGGGUGCAAGCGUUAAUCGGAAUUACUGGGCGUAAAGCGUGCGCAGGCGGUUAUGUAAGACAGGUGUGAAAUCCCCGGGCUUAACCUGGGAACUGCAUUUGUGACUGCAUAGCUAGAGUACGGUAGAGGGGGAUGGAAUUCCGCGUGUAGCAGUGAAAUGCGUAGAUAUGCGGAGGAACACCGAUGGCGAACGCAAUCCCCUGGACCUGUACUGACGCUCAUGCACGAAAGCGUGGGGAGCAAACAGG